Molecule: non-coding RNA, 25 nt
Filed under: Mus musculus (house mouse)
Lineage: Eukaryota; Metazoa; Chordata; Mammalia; Rodentia; Muridae
Source: RNAcentral
UGAACUUGGCAAAGUAGGAGGACAG